RNAcentral lists this ribosomal RNA (402 nucleotides) under uncultured prokaryote. Its description in RNAcentral is "bacterial SSU rRNA". It matches the Rfam family "Bacterial small subunit ribosomal RNA", at positions 355 to 774 of the family's 1533-position model. The record is from RNAcentral.
UGGGGAAUAUUGCGCAAUGGGGGAAACCCUGACGCAGCAAUACCGCGUGAAUGAAGAAGGUCUUCGGAUCGUAAAGUUCUGUUAUUGGGGAAGAAAAAGACGGUACCCAAGGAGAAAGUUCCGGCUAACUACGUGCCAGCAGCCGCGGUAAUACGUAGGGAACAAGCGUUGUCCGGAUUUACUGGGCGUAAAGGGCACGCAGGCGGUUUUUUAAGUCAGAUGUGAAAGGUACCGGCUCAACCGGUGACAUGCAUUUGAAACUGAAAGACUUGAGGAUUGGAGAGGCAAGUGGAAUUCUUAGUGUAGCGGUGAAAUGCGUAGAGAUUAGGAGGAACACCAGUGGCGAAGGCGGCUUGCUGGACAAAUACUGACGCUGAGGUGCGAAAGCUUGGGGAGCAAACA